RNAcentral lists this long non-coding RNA (562 nucleotides) under Capra hircus (goat). RNAcentral describes it as "lncRNA (ENSCHIG00000002252.1)". The record is from RNAcentral. Lineage: Eukaryota; Metazoa; Chordata; Mammalia; Artiodactyla; Bovidae.
GUGGAUUCUUUACCACUGUACCAUCUGGGAGGCCCAGGUCGUUCCUAUUGGAUGGAUGCAAAACCAUCAGCUCCUUGUGAUGGACCACUUUUGCACCAGGAGCUGGACAAAGACCACCCCAUCAGCGCCUGUGUGGUAAUGGUGAGGAGCUGGGCUUUUGAAGGCUUCCGUCAAACGCUGAGUAUCUAUUAUGAUCAGGGCAGUGCGGUCUUGCAUCAUUAAAGCAUCUAAGGCAGGGCUUGCUGGCCCCACUACACAGAUGCAGGACCACUUCCAACUUCAGACAAAGCAAAGUCAUGGAUGGAACCAUUUCUGUCUGAAAGGAAUUCCAGAGGGGCCCUUAAAACAGGGCUGGAAGGCUCCCCCCCACACCCUCUCCCAGGGUCCUCUUGGCCUGCUGACUCCUAGGGGGAGCCUCAGGUGCAGGAUCUUCCCUCUGCAUUCACUCCCAUCUCCUUCACCGGUGGUCUCCACCUUUGCUCAGCUGCUGAGGAAGAGUUUGUGUUCCAGAUCAGCACUCAAUCCUGUCACAGAUCAUGCUCAUUCAACCUGGGUAACUUAA